RNAcentral lists this non-coding RNA (56 nucleotides) under marine eukaryotic metagenome. The record is from RNAcentral.
AUACGAGGAAGGAUUUGACUGAUUGCAACCUCGAAAAAAAAAUGCUAAAGCAGUGU